AGAUAAUAGUAUAAGAUUUUAGUAUGUUUCUUUUUCGAAGAAGAGGUUUUUAUAUCUU
Molecule: transfer RNA, 58 nt
Filed under: Toxocara canis (dog roundworm)
Lineage: Eukaryota; Metazoa; Nematoda; Chromadorea; Rhabditida; Toxocaridae
Description: tRNA-Glu
Source: RNAcentral